AAGUCGUAACAAGGUUUCCGUAGGUGAACCUGCGGAAGGAUCAUUAGAAAUCACCGGCCUAGCCGGUAUAAAAUUCUAUCCACCUUCUGUGCAAUCAAUGGAAAAAAGAGAGAAAAUUGGAUACUUUUUGUAUCCAACCUCUCUAAAAAACUUUAUAAACUCCAUCAAAUUUUGAAUAAAACUAAUAUUUUAAUAAAAUAUAUUAUACAACUUUCAACAACGGAUCUCUUGGCUCUC
This 237-nucleotide unclassified non-coding RNA is filed under the name fungal sp. Its description in RNAcentral is "partial internal transcribed spacer region". The stretch from base 1 to 46 matches the Rfam family "Eukaryotic small subunit ribosomal RNA", at positions 1786 to 1831 of the family's 1831-position model. The record is from RNAcentral. Lineage: Eukaryota; Fungi.